GUGCUUAAAACAAAAUCCACCUGGAUAUGCCCUCUCUGCUUCUACACAACAGCGGAAAGAAGCAAUAACUAUGGAUACCAAGCAUGUCAGGCUUCUUCUACUCCACUCACAAAAUUUUGGCUCCAUCUUUCCAGAGCCAGCAAUGGCAGCUCAAGUAUAGGAGUGAGUGAUUGCUGUUAAUACACCAAAUCUAAAUGAUGGAGACUCUGCCACUGGGAGAAGUGAGAUCCUCCUCACUCCUUGUUUGGAAUAAAGUCAAGCCUGAGGACAGGAGAUAUGCUCCAGGCUGCUCAGACAAUUUUAAAAUCUAGACUUUAAGCAAUAAAAACAAAAGUUUUCUGACAUGCCAUGAGGCUCAGCUUGGAUCAUAUCUAAAGAUCACAAGGCAUGGGGGCCAAACCCCUACAUAAAAAUUAAGAAGUCGGGGGCUGGCCCCGUGGCUGAGUGGUUAAGUUCACAGGCUCUGCUUCAGCAGCCCAGGGUUUCACUGGUUCAGCUCCUGGACGUGGACAUGGCACUGCUUGUCAGGCUGUGCUGAGGUACCAUCCCACAUGCCACAAUUAGAAGGACCCACAACUAAAUAU
Molecule: long non-coding RNA, 584 nt
Filed under: Equus caballus (horse)
Lineage: Eukaryota; Metazoa; Chordata; Mammalia; Perissodactyla; Equidae
Description: lncRNA (ENSECAG00000051974.1)
Source: RNAcentral